Molecule: ribosomal RNA, 274 nt
Filed under: uncultured bacterium
Lineage: Bacteria
Description: partial 16S ribosomal RNA
Rfam family: Bacterial small subunit ribosomal RNA
Source: RNAcentral
AUACAGAGGGUGCGAGCGUUAAUCGGAAUUACUGGGCGUAAAGCGCGCGUAGGCGGCUUAUUAAGUCAGAUGUGAAAUCCCCGGGCUCAACCUGGGAACUGCAUCUGAUACUGGUAAGCUAGAGUUUUGGAGAGGGAAGUAGAAUUUCAGGUGUAGCGGUGAAAUGCAUAGAGAUCUGAAGGAAUACCAGUGGCGAAGGCGACUUCCUGGCCAAAAACUGACGCUGAGGUGCGAAAGCGUGGGUAGCAAACGGGAUUAGAAACCCGAGUAGUCC